Molecule: transfer RNA, 73 nt
Filed under: Gemmatimonadota bacterium
Lineage: Bacteria; Pseudomonadati; Gemmatimonadota
Also listed under: 1 other name
Description: Gemmatimonadetes bacterium (marine sediment metagenome) tRNA-Lys
Rfam family: tRNA
About the family: Transfer RNA (tRNA) molecules are approximately 80 nucleotides in length. Their secondary structure includes four short double-helical elements and three loops (D, anti-codon, and T loops).
Source: RNAcentral
GGGGGCAUGACCGUAAUCGGUAACGGACGGGCCUUUUAAGCCCGGCAUCUGGGUUCGAGUCCCAGUGCCCCCA